Coregonus clupeaformis (lake whitefish) is the source of this 1770-nucleotide long non-coding RNA. RefSeq lists it as uncharacterized. The transcript is spliced from 10 exons. The record is from RefSeq and is a predicted model, not a curated record. Lineage: Eukaryota; Metazoa; Chordata; Actinopteri; Salmoniformes; Salmonidae.
GGAGACGACGACCGCCGAAGCCUGCCCGAACAAGGAGAAGGAGCAGCCUCGGCCGAAACCGUGACACUUAGACAGAUAAAUGCUUUUUUCAACUGCUAUAGGAAAUUUAUCUGAAAUAAUCUGCUGACAUUAGGCGCUGUCUGAGCUCAAUUUAAAGAUAAUCCUCAGACAUUAGGCAUUGGCUGGACUCUUGGUUUUACAGACACCUGUUUACGACUCUCACAGUCUGUGAACCUGCCUGGGCAUAGUAAUGGCUAAAGCUGAGGUGCAGCACAAUAAUGGGGAUAUUGACCAAUGGAUGAAGACAGUGGAAAUGGCUUCAGACUUUGCAGUGACUGAGGUUUUUUCCCUGAAGAAGCCCCAUUCAGGGAUAAGGAGCCAGACAAUGGCACUAAAAAAUACAGAGCAGCUGCUGGAUCAUGACGAAGCAUACGGGGAAGGAACAGUCCAGUAGCCAUGGCACCUGCCCAGCCUGUCUCCCUGGACUACAGUAACUUUGAUGACCUGUAUUCCCACCUGGCUGAGGAGGAGGAGAGCUCAGUGGUCAACAACUUCCUUCAAGACCUCAUGGAGCGGGAAGUGGUGGAAUCUGGGAUAGUGCAGGAUCUGGCACUAGACUGAGAAGAGCGAGACAGGAGGAAGAGGAGGGACCCGGGUCUUACCAUGGAGGCGCGUCACCAACAGUGUCUGCAGAGGCACUUCUCUGGCUGGUACUCUGCUGUUGGAGAGGAGGGUGCGGAUGGGCAAGGCGGCGGCGCUCUGUGAUUGGAGGAGACAGCUGAGGGCGUGGCAAGCCUGGAGGUGACGCUGCCAGAUGGCGAUGGAGAGUGACCGGAGGCGUAUGUUAAGGCGAUGCCUGAGUGAUUGGCGGUUGUGGUGCCGGGCGGCGAGAGGACGGCGGGAGCUGUUGGCACAGCAGGAAGAGACGCGGUGCAAGAUGGCCGCACUGAUCAAUGCUGCGGCAACUGGGAAACUCAAGGUGAUGGAGACGCCUGCUCCUGAGCCAAUCACAGCCCCGCCUGAGACUUUUGACCAAUCAGAGACCACAGAACUGAAAGGUUAGGUGUGGUCACGACCUGUUGGCCCCACCCCCUCUACUGCCUGUCAAGGUGACGGACAGCUGGGGGCUGUGGUCCCGCCCACCCUCGCCUGGCAGGUGACACAGCGUCACGCAGCACUGAGUGCAGCAAUAAUUGCCAGCACUUACGCGAUACGACACCAUGCCAGCCAGCAGCAGACCAUCGCAGAGCGAAGGAGGCUCCUCCGGGAACAGCAGGAGCAGAUAGCACGCCUGCAGGAGGGAAAAAGCAUGAUGGGAUUGAAGCAGGAGGCCCAGAUCGCUCAGCUUGCUGUCCCAGCAGCCCCAGGUCCCAGAGGGAUGACCUCUGUCCCCAAAGAACCCAGGGCUGGGAGUGUCUCUGGUGGGAACGAUGGCCGCUCCUUGGCCUCGAGGAAACCAGCCGUCCGUCAGCCCUGUCGUCAUCCCACCGUCAUGGGUCAGUCAGCACAUUCACCUCCAUGUGAGCUAAACCACACAUAGACAUCCAUUCCAGAUGGUUGAUCUUACAAUGGUCGGACUAUCUUGUCAUGAAGUAUGAAGAAAAGAGGAGAAAAUUAAUUUAAUUUCUGAGUUGGAUGUAGGGGAGAGUAGGGUAAGUUGAGCCAUAUAGGUUGUAGAGGAGAGUUAGUGCAUUUACUGUUCGUUAGGCCUACUCAUUUUGUUGGCUGACGAAAAGUAAUUGUGGACAGUUCUUCCGAUAUCUUCAAUAU